Molecule: ribosomal RNA, 403 nt
Filed under: Verrucomicrobiota bacterium
Lineage: Bacteria; Pseudomonadati; Verrucomicrobiota
Description: Verrucomicrobia bacterium partial 16S ribosomal RNA
Rfam family: Bacterial small subunit ribosomal RNA
Source: RNAcentral
UGGGGAAUAUUGCACAAUGGAGGGAACUCUGAUGCAGCGACGCCGCGUGAACGAAGAAGGCUUUCGAGUCGUAAAGUUCUUUUAUAUGGGAAGAUAAUGACGGUACCAUAGGAGGAAGCCCCGGCUAACUACGUGCCAGCAGCCGCGGUAAUACGUAGGGGGCAAGCGUUGUCCGGAAUCACUGGGCGUAAAGGGUUCGCAGGCGGAAAUGCAAGUCAGUUGUGAAAGGCAGAGGCUCAACCUCUGUAAGCAAUUGAAACUGUAUUUCUUGAGAUGUGGAGAGGCAAGUGGAAUUCCUAGUGUAGCGGUGAAAUGCGUAGAUAUUAGGAAGAAUACCGGUGGCGAAGGCGACUUGCUGGACACAAACUGACGCUGAGGAACGAAAGCGUGGGUAGCAAACAGG